RNAcentral lists this ribosomal RNA (497 nucleotides) under uncultured bacterium. RNAcentral describes it as "partial 16S ribosomal RNA". It matches the Rfam family "Bacterial small subunit ribosomal RNA", at positions 28 to 507 of the family's 1533-position model. The record is from RNAcentral.
GAUGAACGCUGGCGGCGUGCUUAAUACAUGCAAGUCGAGCGGACGGACGAGGAGCUUGCUGCUUUGAUGUUUGCGGCGGACGGGUGAGUAACGUGUGGAUAACGCACCUAUCAGACUGGGAUAAUUUCGGGAAAGCGGAGCUUAUACCGGAGGAUCUCUUGCACCGCAUGGUUCAAAGGAGAAAGACGGUCUUGGUGGCACGUCUAGAUGCAUCUGCGCUGCAUUAGCUAGUUGGGAAGGUAACGGCUUACCAAGGGAACGAUGCAUAGCCGACGUGAGAGGGUGAUAGGCGACACUAGAACUGAGACACGGUCCAGACUCCUACGAGAGGCAGCAGUAGGCAAUCUUCCGCAAUGGGCGAAAGCCUGACGGAACAACGCCGCGUCAGUGAUGAAGGUCUUCGGAGCGUAAAACUCUGUUAUUAGGGAAGAACAUAUGUGUAAGUAACUGUGCACAUCUUGACGGUACCUAAUCAGAAAGCCACGGCUAACUACGUG